This 465-nucleotide ribosomal RNA is filed under the name Vreelandella stevensii. RNAcentral describes it as "partial 16S ribosomal RNA". It matches the Rfam family "Bacterial small subunit ribosomal RNA", at positions 338 to 795 of the family's 1533-position model. Lineage: Bacteria; Pseudomonadati; Pseudomonadota; Gammaproteobacteria; Oceanospirillales; Halomonadaceae. The record is from RNAcentral.
CCUACGGGGGGCUGCAGUGGGGAAUAUUGGACAAUGGGGGGAACCCUGAUCCAGCCAUGCCGCGUGUGUGAAGAAGGCCCUCGGGUUGUAAAGCACUUUCAGUGAGGAAGAACGCCUGGUGGUUAAUACCCAUCAGGAAAGACAUCACUCACAGAAGAAGCACCGGCUAACUCCGUGCCAGCAGCCGCGGUAAUACGGAGGGUGCGAGCGUUAAUCGGAAUUACUGGGCGUAAAGCGCGCGUAGGUGGCUUGAUAAGCCGGUUGUGAAAGCCCCGGACUCAACCUGGGAACGGCAUCCGGAACUGUCAAGCUAGAGUGCAGGAGAGGAAGGUAGAAUUCCCGGUGUAGCGGUGAAAUGCGUAGAGAUCGGGAGGAAUACCAGUGGCGAAGGCGGCCUUCUGGACUGACACUGACACUGAGGUGCGAAAGCGUGGGUAGCAAACAGGAUUAGAUACCCGAGUAGUC